UUGGAGGGCAAGUCUGGUGCCAGCAGCCGCGGUAAUUCCAGCUCCAAUAGCGUAUAUUAAAGUUGUUGCAGUUAAAAAGCUCGUAGUUGAAUUUCGGGGUUCUUCCGUUGGUCAGGCUAACCAGUCUGUACUAGCGUGUAGAAUCUCUACCUUCUGGGGAACCAUCAUGUUAUUAAUUUAGCGUGGUGGGAAACCAGGACCUUUACCUUGAAAAAAUUAGAGUGUUCAAAGCAGGCUUACGUCUGAAUACAUUAGCAUGGAAUAAUAAAAUAGGACGGUGGUCCUGUUUUGUUGGUUUCUGAAUCACCGUAAUGAUUAAUAGGGACAGUUGGGGGCAUUAGUAUUCAAUUGUCAGAGGUGAAAUUCUUGGAUUUAUUGAAGACUAACUUCUGCGAAAGCAUUUGCCAAGGAUGAUUUCAUUAAUCAAGAACGAAAGUUAGGGGAUCGAAGACGAUCAGAUACCGUCGUAGUCUUAACCAUAAACUAUGCCGACUAGGGAUCGGACGAUGUUAAAUUUUAUUGACUCGUUCGGCGCCUUACGGGAAAC
RNAcentral lists this ribosomal RNA (547 nucleotides) under uncultured Glomeromycotina. RNAcentral's name for it is "SSU rRNA". It matches the Rfam family "Eukaryotic small subunit ribosomal RNA", at positions 548 to 1098 of the family's 1831-position model. Lineage: Eukaryota; Fungi; Glomeromycota. The record is from RNAcentral.